UGAACGCUGGCGGUAGGCCUAACACAUGCAAGUCGAACGGCAGCACAGUAAGAGCUUGCUCUUACGGGUGGCGAGUGGCGGACGGGUGAGGAAUACAUCGGAAUCUACUUUUUCGUGGGGGAUAACGUAGGGAAACUUACGCUAAUACCGCAUACGACCUACGGGUGAAAGCAGGGGAUCUUCGGACCUUACGCGAUUGAAUGAGCCGAUGUCGGAUUAGCUAGUUGGCGGGGUAAAGGCCCACCAAGGCGACGAUCCGUAGCUGGUCUGAGAGGAUGAUCAGCCACACUGGAACUGAGACACGGUCCAGACUCCUACGGGAGGCAGCAGUGGGGAAUAUUGGACAAUGGGCGGAAGCCUGAUCCAGCCAUACCGCGUGGGUGAAGAAGGCCUUCGGGUUGUAAAGCCCUUUUGUUGGGAAAGAAAAGCAGCAGGUUAAUACCCCGCUGUUCUGACGGUACCCAAAGAAUAAGCACCGGCUAACUUCGUG
RNAcentral lists this ribosomal RNA (490 nucleotides) under uncultured bacterium. RNAcentral's name for it is "partial 16S ribosomal RNA". It matches the Rfam family "Bacterial small subunit ribosomal RNA", at positions 30 to 507 of the family's 1533-position model. The record is from RNAcentral.